AUCUAUGGCCAUGCCACCCUGAACGCGCCCAAUCUUGUCUGAUGUCGGAAGCUAAGGAGGGUUGGGCCUGGUUAGUACUUGGACGGGAGAUCAAAUGGACUCAUGUUAAAGUACAUA
RNAcentral lists this ribosomal RNA (117 nucleotides) under Propithecus coquereli (Coquerel's sifaka). The record is from RNAcentral. Lineage: Eukaryota; Metazoa; Chordata; Mammalia; Primates; Indriidae.